RNAcentral lists this ribosomal RNA (240 nucleotides) under uncultured bacterium. RNAcentral describes it as "partial 16S ribosomal RNA". It matches the Rfam family "Bacterial small subunit ribosomal RNA", at positions 94 to 334 of the family's 1533-position model. The record is from RNAcentral.
AGUGGCGGACGGGUGAGUAACGCGUGGGUAACCUACCCUGUACAGGGGGAUAACAGUCAGAAAUGACUGCUAAUACCGCAUAAGACCACAGCACCGCAUGGUGCAGGGGUAAAAACUCCGGUGGUACAGGAUGGACCCGCGUCUGAUUAGCUGGUUGGUGAGGUAACGGCCUACCAAGCCGACGAUCAGUAGCCGACCUGAGAGGGUGACCGGCCACAUUGGGACUGAGACACGGCCCAA